Molecule: ribosomal RNA, 98 nt
Filed under: uncultured bacterium
Lineage: Bacteria
Description: partial 16S ribosomal RNA
Rfam family: Bacterial small subunit ribosomal RNA
Source: RNAcentral
CCCAGGCCUUGUACACGCCGCCCGUCACAUCAUGAAAGCCGGUUGUACCCGAAGUCGCCCCUCAAAAGGUGCCGAAGGCAUGGCUGGUGAUUGGGAUG